This 1523-nucleotide long non-coding RNA is filed under the name Nicotiana tabacum (common tobacco). RNAcentral describes it as "long non-coding RNA (NTAB_LNC004842)". The record is from RNAcentral. Lineage: Eukaryota; Viridiplantae; Streptophyta; Magnoliopsida; Solanales; Solanaceae.
AGGAGGAACAAAGGAGCUCUUAUCUUCAUCAGCUCUCAUUAAGGAACUUCUUAUUAGUUCUAGUGAAGCAAUGGGAGGUCUAGGGAGCUCUCUCUGCAAUACUUUUGACCUUUUCCGGAGUAAAGCUUGUUGCCUUGCUUCUUCUUCGGCCUUCUCCCUUGCAAUCCUAUCAGACAUGUCUUCUUCAAUCUUCUCUUCUGGUGGUUCUUCAAUUUCUUCCUGAGGUUGUUGGACGACUAUCUGGUACUCAUUUUUGGGCUGAGGAAGGCUUUUCAAACCAGAAAGCAAUUCUUUCUUUGAAUUGAAUUGCCCAAGUUUAGCAUUAUUGUGCAUAUCCAUUUCUUCAUUAAUGCGUAGCUCAUCCCUCAUAGGAGUUCCUUUCGGGGUCAUGCCAUAAGAAUCCCUUGAAGGUGUCAUGCCAAUUCUAGGAGUAAGGCCAGUGGCUCCAGGAGUCGCUGAAGGAGUUAAGAGUGGGUUUGGUGUUUGAACUUCCCUUUUCUUAGGAGUGACACCAGAAAAAUCUGAGGGGUGCAACAUAGGAUUAUCCCCUCCAAGUAAUGGUGUCUGAGACUGAGUCAAUCUUCGUUGAUUUUCUGCUUCCAUCAUAAUGGCAUCUUGCUUAGUUGAAGGGGUUCUUUGAGGUGUUCGCAUAGGAGUCAUUGCAUGCUGUGGUGUCUGGGCAUAAUUUGCAAGAAGAGCACGUGUUGCAGCAUUCCCUUCGGAGAGUUCAUCACCUCCUAGUAGAUCACUGGCAAUACCUAUCUUUGCUAUGGCCUCCAAUUCAUGAUCUGGAAUCUGUGGUGCAGGAAGAUUGAGUUUCGACCUCUUCCUCACUGCUUCUGGAUCAUUAAGUUUAUUUGCAUGCAAUAUGGCUGUAGGGGCAUCCUGCCUUUCUGCAAUUUUAUUCCUUGCAAUAUCCUGCUUUCUUAGACGAGCUUCCUUAUCGACUCUCCUUUCACCUUCUAGUUCUUCAAUGGUAGUUGGAAACUUAGGUUGCUCUACUGGACGGUCUUCCUCAGCAACAUCAUAGAAACCUGGAGGAGGCUUCUUUUCAAAGGGUAUUUCAGCAUUGUAAUCAAUUCCUCUCCUUUUUCUCUUCCUUUGACGGGCAUCUAUUCCAGCAGCCUUCAGUUCUCUCCUUUUCUGUAAGGAAGCAAGCCUUCGAGCCUCUUCAAGCUGCUUUUCUCUGGCUUUCCUUUUAGCCUUCUUACCUCUUGUGUUGGCCAACCGAGCCCGUGCUUCAGACAACAUUUCUUUCUCAUCCUCGUCCAUAUCAACAGGAUCAGGACGAGCAGGCUUUGAUUCUGGAUUAGGAUCAAUCUCUCCAGGCUUCAAUUUUCUUGGAUCAUCAUUAGGGUCAUAGUUUUCAUCCUUAGCACAUGCUGCAUCGAGAAGCUUUUCAUAGCGUUCAAGGCACUGGGAUGGUGUACGACCAACAAUUGGCGCAAUAGUCCUCCACUGGGUAGGCAUGAGCUUUGCAAGGUGAAGUAGUUUCUCAUCUUCUUCUCUAGUCCACUCAGUCU